Molecule: ribosomal RNA, 479 nt
Filed under: uncultured bacterium
Lineage: Bacteria
Description: partial 16S ribosomal RNA
Rfam family: Bacterial small subunit ribosomal RNA
Source: RNAcentral
GAUGAACGCUAGCGGGAGGCCUAACACAUGCAAGCCGAGCGGUAGAGUUUCUUCGGAAACUUGAGAGCGGCGCACGGGUGCGUAACACGUGUGCAACCUACCUUUAUCUGGGGGAUAGCCUUUCGAAAGGAAGAUUAAUACCCCAUAAUAUAAUGAUUGGCAUCAAUUAUUAUUGAAAACUCCGGUGGAUAGAGAUGGGCACGCGCAAGAUUAGAUAGUUGGUGAGGUAACGGCUCACCAAGUCAAUGAUCUUUAGGGGUCCUGAGAGGGAGAUCCCCCAACAUGGGAACGAGACACGGACCAGACUCCUACGGGAGGCAGCAGUGAGGAAUAUUGGGCAAUGGGUGAGAGCCUGAUCCAGCCAUCCCGCGUGAAGGAUGACGGUCCUAUGGAUUGUAAACUUCUUUUGUACAGGGAUAAACCUACCCUCGUGAGGGUAGCUGAAGGUACUGUACGAAUAAGCACCGGCUAACUCCGUG